CUACGUGCCAGCAGCCGCGGUAAUACGUAGGGUGCGAGCGUUAAUCGGAAUUACUGGGCGUAAAGCGGGCGCAGACGGUUACUUAAGCAGGAUGUGAAAUCCCCGGGCUCAACCUGGGAACUGCGUUCUGAACUGGGUGACUAGAGUGUGUCAGAGGGAGGUAGAAUUCCACGUGUAGCAGUGAAAUGCGUAGAGAUGUGGAGGAAUACCGAUGGCGAAGGCAGCCUCCUGGGAUAACACUGACGUUCAUGCCCGAAAGCGUGGGUAGCAAACAGGAUUAGAUACCCUGGUAGUCCACGCCCUAAACGAUGUCGAUUAGCUGUUGGGCAGCAUGACUGCUUAGUAGCGAAGCUAACGCGUGAAAUCGACCGCCUGGGGAGUACGGUCGCAAGAUUAAAACUCAAAGGAAUUGACGGGGACCCGCACAAGCGGUGGAUGAUGUGGAUUAAUUCGAUGCAACGCGAAGAACCUUACCUGGUUUUGACAU
RNAcentral lists this ribosomal RNA (487 nucleotides) under uncultured bacterium. RNAcentral describes it as "bacterial SSU rRNA". It matches the Rfam family "Bacterial small subunit ribosomal RNA", at positions 501 to 987 of the family's 1533-position model. The record is from RNAcentral.